This 292-nucleotide unclassified non-coding RNA is filed under the name Hevea brasiliensis (rubber tree). The record is from RNAcentral. Lineage: Eukaryota; Viridiplantae; Streptophyta; Magnoliopsida; Malpighiales; Euphorbiaceae.
UCACCAGACUAUGAAAUACUCUGCCAUCUGGAAAUUGUUUAAUAUUAAUGCUAAAUGCAAAUUAUAUAAGGAAUUUCGUACUCUGGCUUGUUCCUAUUUUCUUAAUAUCAAUAAUUAGAGCUAUUUACAUCCGAGGAAUAUUGAACUUAGGGAAAUUCUUGCCCGACUUGGUCUACCAUAACCCAAGCAACAAACGAAAAUUCAGCGCUAGCGGGCAUGCCCUGGGAUCAAACAUAAACAAACUAGACUUCAAUGCAAAAUAAACCUAAAGAUCAUGGGAAGAAUUAACCUG